UACGUAGGGGGCAAGCGUUGUCCGGAAUUAUUGGGCGUAAAGAGCUCGUAGGCGGUCUGUCACGUCGGAUGUGAAAACUCGGGGCUCAACCCCGAGCCUGCAUUCGAUACGGGCAGACUAGAGUUCGGUAGGGGAGACUGGAAUUCCUGGUGUAGCGGUGAAAUGCGCAGAUAUCAGGAGGAACACCGGUGGCGAAGGCGGGUCUCUGGGCCGAUACUGACGCUGAGGCACGAAGGUCAGGGGAGCAAACGGG
RNAcentral lists this ribosomal RNA (253 nucleotides) under uncultured bacterium. RNAcentral describes it as "partial 16S ribosomal RNA". It matches the Rfam family "Bacterial small subunit ribosomal RNA", at positions 524 to 776 of the family's 1533-position model. The record is from RNAcentral.